Xyrauchen texanus (razorback sucker) is the source of this 1645-nucleotide long non-coding RNA. RefSeq lists it as uncharacterized. Lineage: Eukaryota; Metazoa; Chordata; Actinopteri; Cypriniformes; Catostomidae. The record is from RefSeq and is a predicted model, not a curated record. The transcript has 4 exons.
AAAACGGACCACAAAAUUUUUCUCUUCCCAUCCAACCCUGUUAGGAGACAUGUUGAAGAUUUCAUAUUCCAGAACAGGCACGUGCAGAGGGGGGGGGCGUUGGGUGCUUGAGCACCUGCCCCUUUGCCCCUUGGUGCCCAAAGUGCCCUUUUGUCAAAUAAAAAAUUCCUCUCAUUUUUUUUAUUUAUUAAAGGCCCUUUUGUGAAUGCCUGCCUAUGCCAAAUCUAAAUAUUAGUAAAAUGUAUGAUUAAUAAUUUAGCCUUAAAUAAAAUGAUCCAGAUGAUGACCUUUCACCUGACGACGACCUCAUCCGGGACUAUUCCUCACGCCGCACGGCCGCAGCACGCGCAUUUUUUAAUUACCGGAAGAUAUCUUCAACACCGCGACCGCGGCAGCUGCAAAGACCACUAUUCAGAGAUGCUUUAAAGGAGGAGAUAAUUCCAAAUGGGAAAUAUUGCAUGCCUUCCAUUGCCUGACAGUCCCAGAGAACUGGAAAACAGCUAGCAUUCCAACAGCUGCACUCCAAGCUGUGAAGAAACUGUGCCAGUUCUACAAUAUUGAAGAUGAAGACAAAUUGCAGACAGAAUUGAAGGUCUUCCAUACGUCAUACUCAUGCCCACCACCAGCCAAUGUGUCCUCUAUUCUGUCAGUGGUCAAGGAAACCAAUGCACAUCUAGUUUUCCCCAACAUGACUCUGCUGCUGAAGACAUAUGGCACACUUCCGGUGUCCACAGCAACUGUGGAACGUUCCUUCUCAAAACUGAAGCUUGUGAAAACCAAACUUCGCAGCCUUUGCAAAGAGGAGAGAUUGUCUGACCUUCUUCUGUUGGCCAUUGAGAAGGACAUUCCAAUAAAUGACAAUAAUGUCAUUAACAUUUUUAGGGACAUGGCCAACAGGAAAUUUCUGUUAUAAAAGUCUACAACAACUCAUCAACACUUAUUGCUCUUGGUGUGCAGCAGCCUCUGUGAGCAUCUCCCUCUUAUUUUCUUGGAGCAGUCAGCCUUGGCAGUCUCUCAGAUCAACUCCAGUAUUAGCAGCAGCAACAGCAAAGGCAGCAUACUCACUCAAGGAAUUUAGUAAGAUUUUACCAGAACAGGUAUCACAUUAAUGUACAAAAUCUGUUGUAUUUGCUGUAAAAUAAAAUUGCUGUAUUUUUUCUGUUUGCUUUGUUUUUGUUUUUAUUAUAUUAAUGGAACUCUUGUAUUUUUGUAAUUCAGUUUUUGCCAUCAAAAUAGCCACAAAUGCUGACAUGGCAUUAAAUAAAACUAUACUCUACUGUACGAAACAUGGGCCACGUUGAUUUUACUAUAACGGCUGUUCUUAAUUAUUCUGUAUAACAGAGAAGAAAAAGCCAUCAGGUUGGUACAACUUAAGACACUUCAGUUUCUAAUUAUUCUGGACAGAAAAUAUUUUUUUAACUUUUAAACUUAAAAUUGUCUUUUCUGUUCUGUUUCUUUUCCAAAACUGCAUCACAGCAUUUGCUGCCGUAUCAAUACAGAAUCAUCCGUAUCGAUACGCGAAUCAGCAAGGAAUGUGUCACGAUAUAUUACUGUAUUGAUAUUUUGAGCACCGCGCUAUUUAAAGCCUUGUUCCAUGUGCCCCUUUUAUACUUUGAGCACCUGCCCCUCCAAAGGUCUCUGCACG